RNAcentral lists this long non-coding RNA (235 nucleotides) under Elaeis guineensis (African oil palm). RNAcentral describes it as "long non-coding RNA (EGUI_LNC080003)". The record is from RNAcentral. Lineage: Eukaryota; Viridiplantae; Streptophyta; Magnoliopsida; Arecales; Arecaceae.
GACUGAGGUCGAUAGUUGAUAUCGAAUUUUAUGAGCUCAACUGUCCAUUUCGCUAUCCUUCCGGAAGCAUCCGCUCGAUGCAAAACCGCCUUAAUCUGCUGGUCGAUGAGCAGUGUUAUGGUGUGCCCUUGAAAGUAAGGUUGGAGUCUUCGAGCUGCAAUCAACAAGACGUAAGUUAGUUUCUCUAACUUAGUAUACCUAGUUUCGACAUCUCUCUAUACUUGGCUUAUGUUGU